CGUGACGUGCCCGUUCAUAUAUGAACAACGCGCACUCGCUACGUUGCACCCUUUUCAGUUACCGGCGUAAACCGAGUAACAUUUUUGUAGACAUCUGGUGGGAGAAACAGAGCAAAUAUCCAAAAUGGUGAACUUCACUACAGAUCAGAUCCGUGCGAUCAUGGACAAGAAGACGAACAUCAGGAACAUGUCUGUCAUCGCUCAUGUCGACCAUGGCAAGUCUACCCUGACCGACUCCUUGGUGAGCAAGGCCGGUAUCAUUGCUCAAUCCAAGGCAGGAGAGGCACGCUUCACCGACACCAGGAAAGAUGAGCAGGAGCGCUGUAUUACCAUCAAGUCGACAGCCAUCUCCAUGUACUACGAGCUGAGUGACAAGGACAUGACAUUCAUCGAACAGGAAAAGGACGUGAACGAGCGUGGUUUCUUGAUCAACCUCAUCGAUUCCCCAGGCCAUGUUGACUUUUCGUCUGAGGUGACAGCUGCUCUGCGUGUAACUGAUGGAGCUUUGGUUGUUGUGGAUUGUGUCAGUGGUGUCUGUGUGCAGACAGAGACUGUCCUCCGACAAGCCAUUGCUGAGCGCAUCAAGCCAGUUGUGUUCAUGAACAAGAUGGACCGUGCUCUUCUGGAGCUUCAGCUGGAGAUGGAAGAUCUCUACCAAACCUUCCAGAGGAUCGUUGAGAGUAUCAAUGUGAUUGUUGCCACCUAUGCUGACGAGGAUGGACCUAUGGGUAACAUCCAGGUUGCACCAUCAAGGGGAACCGUUGGAUUUGGAUCUGGGCUCCAUGGCUGGGCGUUCACACUGAAGCAGUUUGCUGAGAUCUACGCUUCCAAGUUUAAGAUCGAGCCAGCCAAGCUCAUGAAGAGACUCUGGGGUGACCAAUUCUUCAACCCCAAAGAGAAGAAAUGGAACAAGACUGGAGGUGAAGGCUAUGUUCGUGGUUUCAACCAGUUUGUCUUGGACCCUAUCUACAAGAUGUUUGAUGCAGUCAUGAACUUCAAGAAGCCCGAGACUGAAAACUGCUUGAGAAGCUGAAGGUGCAUCUCAAAACUGAGGAAAAAGAUCUCGAGGGCAAGCCUCUUAUCAAGGUCAUCAUGCGCAACUGGCUGCCAGCUGGUGAAACUAUGCUCCAGAUGAUCACUAUCCAUCUGCCGUCACCCGCCACUGCCCAGAAGUACCGUAUGGAGAUGCUCUACGAAGGACCUCUUGAUGAUCCUGUAGCUAUGGGAAUCAAGACCUGUGACCCCAAGGCUCCUCUCUGUAUGUACGUCUCCAAGAUGGUGCCGACCACAGACAAAGGUCGCUUCUUCGCUUUCGGUCGUGUCUUUUCUGGCACCAUCGGCACUGGCCAGAAAUGUCGCAUCAUGGGACCCAACUUCAUACCAGGCAAGAAGGAGGACUUGUACCUAAAGAACAUCCAGCGGACUAUUCUCAUGAUGGGUCGCUACCAAGAGGCUAUUGAAGAUGUACCAUGCGGUAACAUCUGUGGUCUGGUUGGCGUUGAUCAGUUCUUAGUGAAGACCGGAACCAUCACCACCUAUGAAUAUGCCCAAACAUCAAGGUAUGACACGUUUUCUAGAUCCUUGAAAUUAGUAUUUGAUGUACUGAUUGCAUUUAUCUUGUGCAAUGUUUGACAGACCAUGAAGUUCUCUGUGAGUCCUGUGGUACGUGUAGCUGUGGAGGCGAAGGAUCCCUCUCAGUUGCCCAAGCUUGUCGAAGGACUGAAGCGUCUGGCCAAGUCUGACCCUAUGGUACAGUGUACCAUUGAAGAGUCUGGAGAGCACAUCGUGGCUGGAGCUGGCGAGCUUCAUCUUGAGAUCUGCCUCAAGGAUCUGGAGGAAGAUCAUGCUGGUAUUCCUCUCAAGAAAUCCGACCCAGUCGUGUCUUACCGUGAAGGUGUCACUGCGGAAUCAGACCGAAUGUGUCUAUCCAAGUCACCCAACAAGCACAAUCGUCUCUUCAUGAGAGCAGCACCAUUGCCAGACGGCCUGGCCGAAGAUAUUGACAAUGGAGAAGUCAGUUCCAAGCAAGAUUUCAAACUCCGUAGCCGUUAUUUGAUUGACAAAUAUAACUUUGAGGCCCAAGAAUCCCGUAAGAUCUGGUGCUUUGGCCAGAGGGAACCGGUCCCAACUUGUUGGUCGACUGUGCCAAGGGAGUGCAGUACCCUGAACGAGAUCAAAGACAGCGUCAUUGCAGGAUUCCAGUGGGCUUCGAAGGAGGUCAGUGAAAGCCAUUUUAUCUCUUGACCACAUUUAAUGUUC
This is an RNA transcript of Strongylocentrotus purpuratus (purple sea urchin), 2259 nucleotides long. It is a transcript of the gene named translation elongation factor 2-like, with no coding region annotated. The record is from RefSeq and is a predicted model, not a curated record. NCBI's taxonomy places the organism in Eukaryota, Metazoa, Echinodermata, Echinoidea, Camarodonta, Strongylocentrotidae. The transcript is spliced from 12 exons.